GCCUCAGAUCCACCUUUUGCCAUAACAAAAGGACGGUGGUAUCCAAUCAGAGUUGAGAUCGUUGUAGGCGGGUCCGGGAAGAGCAACAGCCAAUGACAGUACAUUAGCUAAGGUUAUUGAAUUCAUUGGAGAAUGAGUGUUGUCCUGAAUUUGUUAUUUCAAGGGAAACAAACGGGACAGAGAGGACCAAAUGUCUCAUAAGAUGAUGGUGCGAUGCCUGUCAGUCAAAAAGGAAGCAAACUACACUAGCUGGCAUUGAAGAAACGUGAAUAGAUGUCAAUGGCAUAGUCAGAGUAAACACAUUUUUAAAUACAUCAUUAUAUUUUGUAGCUCCUCCCACCCUCUCUUUUUUGCUAUGUCAUCAAACUUUGCAACAAUCAGAAAGCAGAAUGACCCUGUCUGUAGUUUGUUUUGAAAACAAAUGGUUAAAAUUAUUAAUUGCCAGGGUAAUUAGUAACACUUAUCACAGUAAAAGCAGAUCAAGGGUUCCUCAACUUGAAGCAGAGAUUUGGCCAACCCCCUUUCUUCUUCUUCUCUAAUGAGGGAAGAAAACAAGAGAAUGUCUUGCUGCUAAGGGACAGGCGCUUUGCCCGUCCUCCUCAGAUAUGCCCUUAAAGCUGCCGAAGAAAUAACUCCUCAAGUUAUCGAAAGAGCUGAAUAACUUGACAGAACCCAAAAGUUCCUUUCUGCUCAUCCUUGAUGGUAGAAUUGUGAGUUCUGGCAGACUGAAGUAGGUUUUUUGUAUGUACCACAUGAAGCAAGGUUAUGAGAAAAUAGGAUGUAAAUUUCAUUUGGG
Molecule: long non-coding RNA, 796 nt
Organism: Bubalus bubalis (water buffalo)
Lineage: Eukaryota; Metazoa; Chordata; Mammalia; Artiodactyla; Bovidae
Exons: 3
Source: RefSeq, a predicted model, not a curated record